This 497-nucleotide ribosomal RNA is filed under the name uncultured bacterium. RNAcentral describes it as "partial 16S ribosomal RNA". It matches the Rfam family "Bacterial small subunit ribosomal RNA", at positions 28 to 507 of the family's 1533-position model. The record is from RNAcentral.
GACGAACGCUGGCGGCGUGCCUAAUACAUGCAAGUAGAACGCUGAAGAGAGGAGCUUGCUCUUCUUGGAUGAGUUGCGAACGGGUGAGUAACGCGUAGGUAACCUGCCUUGUAGCGGGGGAUAACUAUUGGAAACGAUAGCUAAUACCGCAUAACAAUGGAUGACACAUGUCAUUUAUUUGAAAGGGGCAAUUGCUCCACUACAAGAUGGACCUGCGUUGUAUUAGCUAGUAGGUGAGGUAAUGGCUCACCUAGGCGACGAUACAUAGCCGACCUGAGAGGGUGGUCGGCCACACUGGGACGGAGACACGGCCCAGACUCCUACGGGAGGCAGCAGUAGGGAAUCUUCGGCAAUGGGGGCAACCCUGACCGAGCAACGCCGCGUGAGUGAAGAAGGUUUUCGGAUCGUAAAGCUCUGUUGUAAGUCAAGAACGGGUGUGAGAGUGGAAAGUUCACACUGUGACGGUAGCUUACCAGAAAGGGACGGCUAACUACGUG